Molecule: non-coding RNA, 117 nt
Organism: Arthroderma sp. PD_2
Lineage: Eukaryota; Fungi; Ascomycota; Eurotiomycetes; Onygenales; Arthrodermataceae
Source: the annotation of a GenBank genome assembly
GGCAAGGUGGCCGAGCGGUCUAAGGCGUUCGACUCAAGUUUCUAACUUAGUUUGUGAAAACACGAGCUUGUAUUCGAAUGUGAGUUUCACGCGUGGGUUCGAAUCCCACCCUUGUCA